RNAcentral lists this ribosomal RNA (414 nucleotides) under uncultured microorganism. Its description in RNAcentral is "bacterial SSU rRNA". It matches the Rfam family "Archaeal small subunit ribosomal RNA", at positions 459 to 872 of the family's 1478-position model. The record is from RNAcentral.
CAGCCGCCGCGGUAAUACCGGCGGCCCGAGUGGCGGUCACUAUUAUUGGGCUUAAAGCGUCCGUAGCCGGGUUGGGAAGUCCUCCGGGAAAUCUGGCCGCUUAACGGUCAGAAUGCCGGAGGAUACUCCCAGCCUAGGGAGCGGGAGAGGCCGAGGGGAUUCCCGGAGUAGGGGGGAAAUCCUAUAAUCCCGGGAGGACCACCUGUGGCGAAGGCGCUCGGCUGGAACGCGUCCGACGGUGAGGGACGAAGGCCAGGGGAGCAAACCGGAUUAGAUACCCGGGUAGUCCUGGCUGUAAACGAUGCGGACUUUGUGUCGGACAAGCUAUGAGCUUGUCCGGUGCCGGAGGGAAACCGUUAAGUCCGCCGCCUGGGGAGUACGGCCGCAAGGCUGAAAUUUAAAGGAAUUGGCGGG